This 72-nucleotide small RNA is filed under the name Ulvibacter litoralis. RNAcentral's name for it is "Flavo-1 RNA". It matches the Rfam family "Flavo-1 RNA". Lineage: Bacteria; Pseudomonadati; Bacteroidota; Flavobacteriia; Flavobacteriales; Flavobacteriaceae. The record is from Rfam by way of RNAcentral.
UUGCACUAGCGAUUGAAACGGCAUCCUUUUUAGAGGCACGAGAAAAAGAUACAGUGUAAAGCGCGGUACUGC